This 265-nucleotide ribosomal RNA is filed under the name Escherichia coli. RNAcentral describes it as "partial 16S ribosomal RNA". It matches the Rfam family "Bacterial small subunit ribosomal RNA", at positions 1 to 263 of the family's 1533-position model. RNAcentral also lists the same sequence under 2 other names. Lineage: Bacteria; Pseudomonadati; Pseudomonadota; Gammaproteobacteria; Enterobacterales; Enterobacteriaceae. The record is from RNAcentral.
AAAUUGAAGAGUUUGAUCAUGGCUCAGAUUGAACGCUGGCGGCAGGCCUAACACAUGCAAGUCGAACGGUAACAGGAAGCGCUUGCUGCUUCGCUGACGAGUGGCGGACGGGUGAGUAAUGUCUGGGAAACUGCCUGAUGGAGGGGGAUAACUACUGGAAACGGUAGCUAAUACCGCAUAACGUCGCAAGACCAAAGAGGGGGACCUUCGGGCCUCUUGCCAUCGGAUGUGCCCAGAUGGGAUUAGCUUGUUGGUGGGGUAACGG